GGCGCUUUAGCUCAGUCCGGUAAGAGUGGCGGUCUCAUGAUCCGCAGGUCCGGGGUUCAAAUCCCCGAAGCGCCA
This 75-nucleotide transfer RNA is filed under the name Candidatus Woesearchaeota archaeon. Its description in RNAcentral is "tRNA-Met". It matches the Rfam family "tRNA". From Rfam's summary of the family: Transfer RNA (tRNA) molecules are approximately 80 nucleotides in length. Their secondary structure includes four short double-helical elements and three loops (D, anti-codon, and T loops). Lineage: Archaea; Nanobdellati; Candidatus Woesearchaeota. The record is from RNAcentral.